AUUCAUUUAGUAUAGUAAGUAUAUAAAGCUUCCAACUUUAAGGCUAAUUAAAUUUAAAUGAUUA
RNAcentral lists this transfer RNA (64 nucleotides) under unidentified. Its description in RNAcentral is "Paradorydium reflexana tRNA-Gly". The record is from RNAcentral.